RNAcentral lists this unclassified non-coding RNA (215 nucleotides) under Hevea brasiliensis (rubber tree). The record is from RNAcentral. Lineage: Eukaryota; Viridiplantae; Streptophyta; Magnoliopsida; Malpighiales; Euphorbiaceae.
AGCAUCAGGAUGCUUCUGAGCUUUUGUAAUUAACCCAACACGGAUAUCCAGUCUUGUAAUCAUAAUUUCUGGCUCCACAGCAGUUUUCGGUUUGCUGCCUGUGGAUUUUGCCUGUUGCUUUUUUCCAUUGCCUGAGACGUUAGUUUUUUUUAGCUGAGCAGCAAUCUUUUCUGCUUCAGCUUCUGCUCUCACAAUGCGUUGAGCCUGACUUCCAG